GCGCAUUGUGCUGUUACGAGUAGGUUAGAGGGGAGAACGGAGAGCAGGGUCCAGGUUUCGAGCAGGCCCGUACCGUAAGAUGUUCCAGUUCCUGGUAGGGUUUACUCUUGGAAACGUGGUGGGAAUGUAUCUGGCCCAAAAUUAUCAGGGCUGUGUGCACCAGGCCGUCAUUUCCCCUGUGAUGUAUGUGAAAUGCACAUUACCAACAGCAAGAUACAUGAGUGCAUUGGAAUACUAAAGAGCUUUGGCCAAAAGCUGUGAGCUGAUAUUAUUUUAGCGUCAAAACAAGCAAAAUAUUCAAAGCCAGAUUUAGAUUCCAAAUAUCUAUAAGAAGUUUGAAGAAUUCAAAAAGGAUGCUGAAUCCCGAAAAAAGCCACCAGAUGAUCGAUCGUAAUAUGUACGGCCCAUGGCUAACACUGGGACAUUGGCAUUCAGUUACUAAUGCUAAACUGACUCUAUGCAUUGAGUAUCAAACAGUAUUGGACCCACCUCAACAGUUCUAUUUAUUUAGCACUGAUUAAAAAAAGUAGUCCAACUCAAAAAUCACCUGUGUUUUUA
Mobula hypostoma (lesser devil ray) is the source of this 558-nucleotide RNA transcript. It is a transcript of the gene named short transmembrane mitochondrial protein 1, with no coding region annotated. The record is from RefSeq and is a predicted model, not a curated record. Lineage: Eukaryota; Metazoa; Chordata; Chondrichthyes; Myliobatiformes; Myliobatidae. The transcript has 4 exons.